RNAcentral lists this small nuclear RNA (104 nucleotides) under Camelus ferus (Wild Bactrian camel). Lineage: Eukaryota; Metazoa; Chordata; Mammalia; Artiodactyla; Camelidae. The record is from RNAcentral.
GUGCUCGCUUUGGCAGCACAUAUACUAAAAUUGGAACGAUACAGAGAUUAGCAUGGCCCCUGUGCACGGAUGACACGCAAAUUGGUGAAGCGUUCCAUAUUUUU